CGACACAUCCCUGGAGAGACCUUUUUGUAAGGCAUCGAAGAAGCAACCGUUAUCGGGAAUCUUUCAGAUAAAAAGACAGGGGGAAGCAA
This 89-nucleotide non-coding RNA is filed under the name Peptoclostridium acidaminophilum. RNAcentral describes it as "Glycine sequence". It matches the Rfam family "Glycine riboswitch aptamer". From Rfam's summary of the family: This family represents the bacterial glycine riboswitch. Glycine riboswitches usually consist of two metabolite-binding aptamers domains with similar structures in tandem. The aptamers cooperatively bind glycine to regulate the expression of downstream genes. Lineage: Bacteria; Bacillati; Bacillota; Clostridia; Peptostreptococcales; Peptoclostridiaceae. The record is from RNAcentral. RNAcentral also lists the same sequence under 1 other name.